RNAcentral lists this long non-coding RNA (240 nucleotides) under Elaeis guineensis (African oil palm). RNAcentral describes it as "long non-coding RNA (EGUI_LNC064622)". Lineage: Eukaryota; Viridiplantae; Streptophyta; Magnoliopsida; Arecales; Arecaceae. The record is from RNAcentral.
CCGCUAUGGAAGUUCGAACAGAGUCUGGUUCUUGUAGAAGGCUGAAAGGAGGCCGCUUAUUGUAGAAGCUCGAUCGAAGAUCAGUUGUCGUGGAAGCUCGAAGUAGUGACCUGGCCGAUGAAGGCUGUCCCAUUGUAGAAGCUCGCUAGGGAUCUGGAGUAGAUACUCGAAGUAGACCGCCUGCUGUAGGAGUUCAGAGUAGACUGCUUGCUGUAGAAGUUUGGCUCUUGCAGGAGCUCG